RNAcentral lists this non-coding RNA (24 nucleotides) under Arabidopsis thaliana (thale cress). Lineage: Eukaryota; Viridiplantae; Streptophyta; Magnoliopsida; Brassicales; Brassicaceae. The record is from RNAcentral.
ACAGUUUUGGAACACUGGUGAUGC